GAUGAACGCUGGCGGCGUGCUUAACACAUGCAAGUCGAACGUGAGAAUAGCAAUAUUUGAAAGUGGCAAACGGGUGAGUAACACGUGGGAACCUGCCUCGAAGUGGGGGAUAACGAUUGGAAACGGUCGCUAAUACCGCACGGUUCUGCUCUGAUGGGAAUGGAGCAGAUAAAGAUUUAUCGCUUUGAGAGGGGCCCGCGGCCGAUUAGCUAGUUGGUAAGGUAAAGGCUUACCAAGGCGAUUAUCGGUAGCUGGUCUGAGAGGACGAUCAGCCACACGGGAACUGAGACACGGUCCCGACUCCUACGGGGGGCAGCAGUGAGGAAUAUUGGGCAAUGGGCGAAAGCCUGACCCAGCAACGCCGCGUGGAGGAUGAAGGCUUUAGGGUUGUAAACUCCUUUUGUGGGGGAAGAGGAAGGACGGUACCCCGAGAAUAAGUCACGGCUAACUACGUG
RNAcentral lists this ribosomal RNA (455 nucleotides) under uncultured bacterium. RNAcentral's name for it is "bacterial SSU rRNA". It matches the Rfam family "Bacterial small subunit ribosomal RNA", at positions 28 to 507 of the family's 1533-position model. The record is from RNAcentral.